GGGGCUAGAUGACAAUGGCGGUGGAGGGGAUUGAGGGCUAGGUUGGUAGGCAGGUGGUGUAGCAGGAGCUACUGGUGGGGGGCUAGAUGAUGGCAAUGGUGGAGGCUGCUCAUUAGUCGGGUCCACCGAAGGUGCUGUGGGUGGGCUAGAUGAUGGCAAUGGUGGAGGCUGCUCAUUAGUCGGGUCCACCGGAGGUGCUGUGGGUGGGCUAGAUGAUGGCAAUGGUGGAGGCUGCUCAUUAGUCGGGUCCACGGGAGGUGCUAUGGGUG
RNAcentral lists this long non-coding RNA (269 nucleotides) under Hordeum vulgare. RNAcentral describes it as "long non-coding RNA (HVUL_LNC002328)". Lineage: Eukaryota; Viridiplantae; Streptophyta; Magnoliopsida; Poales; Poaceae. The record is from RNAcentral.